Molecule: unclassified non-coding RNA, 178 nt
Filed under: rhizosphere metagenome
Description: partial ribosomal RNA internal transcribed spacer region
Source: RNAcentral
AAUGAAGCCGGGAAACCGGUCCUUCUAACCCUUGAUUAUAAUAAUUUGUUGCUUUGGUGGGCCGCGCAAGCACCGGCUUCGGCUGGAUCGUGCCCGCCAGAGGACCACAACUCUGUAUCAAAUGUCGUCUGGGUACUAUAAAAUAGCCAAAACUUUCAACAACGGAUCUCUUGGUUCU